GUAGGUGGGCAAGCGUUGUCCGGAAUUAUUGGGCGUAAAAGCGCGCGCAGGGCGGUCCUUUAAGUCUGAUGUGAAAGCCCACGGCUCAACCGUGGAGGGUCAUUGGAAACUGGGGGACUUGAGUACAGAAGAGGAAAGCGGAAUUCCAAGUGUAGCGGUGAAAUGCGUAGAGAUUUGGAGGAACACCAGUGGCGAAGGCGGCUUUCUGGUCUGUAACUGACGCUGAGGCGCGAAAGCGUGGGGAGCAAACAGGAUUAGAUACCCUGGUAGUCCACGCCGUAAACGAUGAGUGCUAAGUGUUAGGGGGUUUCCGCCCCUUAGUGCUGCAGCUAACGCAUUAAGCACUCCGCCUGGGGAGUACGGCCGCAAAGGCUG
This 375-nucleotide ribosomal RNA is filed under the name uncultured organism. RNAcentral describes it as "partial 16S ribosomal RNA". It matches the Rfam family "Bacterial small subunit ribosomal RNA", at positions 526 to 896 of the family's 1533-position model. The record is from RNAcentral.